This 372-nucleotide ribosomal RNA is filed under the name uncultured bacterium. RNAcentral's name for it is "bacterial SSU rRNA". It matches the Rfam family "Bacterial small subunit ribosomal RNA", at positions 524 to 898 of the family's 1533-position model. The record is from RNAcentral.
UACGGAGGAUCCAAGCGUUAUCCGGAUUUACUGGGUUUAAAGGGUGCGUAGGCGGGCUAAUAAGUCAGUGGUGAAAUCCAACAGCUUAACUGUUGAAUUGCCAUUGAUACUGUUAGUCUUGAGUAUAGUUGGAGUGGAUGGAAUUUGUCAUGUAGCGGUGAAAUGCUUAGAGAUGACAAAGAACACCAAUCGCGUAGGCAGUUCACUAAACUAUAACUGACGCUGAGGCACGAAAGCGUGGGGAUCAAACAGGAUUAGAUACCCUGGUAGUCCACGCCGUAAACGAUGAUUACUAGAUGUUGGCGAACGAUCGUCAGUGUUUUAACGAAAGUAUUAAGUAAUCCACCUGGGGAGUACGAUCGCAAGAUUGAA